Molecule: long non-coding RNA, 2869 nt
Organism: Gasterosteus aculeatus aculeatus (three-spined stickleback)
Lineage: Eukaryota; Metazoa; Chordata; Actinopteri; Perciformes; Gasterosteidae
Source: Ensembl
UUCGCCAUCAGCUUUACCUCCACUGCUCCCGCUGCCUAGCAACCUGCCGCGCUUGACAGUAAAAGCCUUAGAUGCCUAAAAACGUAUCAAGUACAGAUAAGGAAGAUAAUCUUAUUUCAUUUAAGUUAUAGGAAGAUACGCGUCUCCUCCGGAGCACGAUGUAUUUAUUUCAGACCACUCCUCAGUCUGUUCUUGACAAACUAGGGAGUAGAAAAGGUCCUCUCACAGGCCACUUGACUGAAAGAGAGCGUAAGCAAGAACCAGUCCAAUGACGUGAUAGGCAUCAGUGAGGGGGUUGUAUUUGGAGAGGAUAUGAUAAACACAAAUUGCACAGUCUUUACAGGAGGUGCAGCUGGUGUUAGUCAGUUCCAUGUUGUUGUGUUCAAAAAUGAAGAAACGCCGGACGGACAGAGGUCAUCGCAGAUCAAAAGAUUAAAUCAAAUGUGUUUAAUAAAAGAGAUGGUGUUGUGGUGAAAAGAACAUCUCUGCUGAGGAGCCGCUGGUCUCAGCAGCCAACAGGCCCAGGUCAGUCCUUUGACCCCCCAUAGUGACUGUCUGGUGUCUCCACCAUCGAACCGAGAACAAUAUUCCUACAGGUAUUUAUACCAAUGCUCAAAGGUGUGAAAGUUAGUGUCCACACCUCUGGGAGUGGUCUUCUGGUGAGUUCAUUGUAACUCGGAUUUCGAAUGUCAAUAUCAGUUGUUGUUCAAGUAUUACAUGUAUGCAUUCCAGUUGAUUACAUUACAUUAAAUACAAUCAUAACUGCAUUGGUAUUAUUCUAGUACAGUUGCAGAAUUACAGUGGUUUUACACUAUUGUCAUUACUUUAUUGAUUACACAGUUUCAGAAUCAUGGCUGUAUUCUGGUGUACACUAUAUGCAUUUUUAUUAAUUUUAUGAACCGGGUCGUAUAUUUGUUUCUAAUAUCCUACAAUGUCUUCUCCAUCUUCUUUCUCUUCUUUCCUUCUUUUCGCCAUUUUUACCGCCUGUCUCUGUUGCAUUCUCACAAACCCAAACCUAACCAAGUAAACUCCUUUGAGCCAAUCGGAUGUCAGGAAAUACGAGGAUCAGUCCAAGUUGGGAGGGGCCGCUCGUAUCCCCCCCCCUCAAGAUUGGAAGUAUUGGUUUGGCCCGGUCUGAAACACACACAGACACACAGCUGCGUUCCGCGGCAGCUAAGCGGCCGGUCUACAGGCCGGUACGGUAGCGUUACGUAUCAUAUAAAAAUAACAAAAAAAAAAAAAAAACUUUUGACCAGCGGCCGUCAAAGUUCUUUGAUGGCUGCAAUGCACGUUGGAAUGGAGCGGUUGUCGAGAGUUAGCAGCCGUGGGACAGAGUACUUGGGCUUCAUGCCGGUCGCCGAAGGUGUUAGCCCGGAGCUAGCCGUUAGCCCGGAGCUAGCCGUUAGCCCGGAGCUAGCCGUUAGCCAAACACGGAGACGGGAAGACUCGUCCGGCACAGGGGAGAAGACGGUCCGUAUUGUGGCAGUGGGCGAGGCACGGAGGACGGGCGGGAGGCAGCCGACAGCCAGCUACCAACGGCAGAGGUAUCGGCUCGAGGCAAAAACCGGACCGGGACGGCUCGAUGGCUGCCCCGGGAGAAAAGUUAAAAACCUUUUGUUGCAGCGCUGGGACGAUGGAGAAAUCCGGGUGUUCGCCGCUGACAGCGGGAGGCGGCCAACAAUCCGCUGAUGUUGGAGGAGAUGUCGGGAGGAGUACGACGAGCUGCUGCAGACCUGCAAGGAGAAGCUGCAUGACUUGGGGCGUCCCUCUGUACGACUUUCCCUUCAGGCCUUCGGAGCAGACCCUGGGGGGACGCGACUCCCUGGGGGGACGCGACUCCCUGGGACCUGCCUCAAAAGAGCGAACCCGUCCGGGUGGCGUCCACUCGCCUCCAAGCUCCACCUGACCUCUCCAUCACUUGAUCACAUGACGUAAUGAAUGAUAAACCUUUAGGUGUUAAUAUGUAUUUUUACUUAUUUUAUUUGUUUACUCGCCCUGUUUCAUGUAAUGUGUCAGUCUGAUCGCAGGAAUUCAAAAAUUAUCGAUAAAGGAACCCAAAAACAUAUUAUUUUUAUAAAUCCAAGGUUUUGUAUAUAAAUAUUAAAUCUCUGAAGUUGUGACACACUUGUUUUAUUUAUUUUAGUUUAGUUUUUUUUUAUAGAGAUUAUUAGAUGAAUGUGAGUCACACACACACAUUUCAUUAGUUUGCAGAUGAUGUAUUUGUAUUCAUACACGUCUCAUUAUCUCUUUUUUUCUUAGAGAUUUUACAUCCAUGAUUUUAGAAACAUAAAAAAAUACAACUGAAAAUGUACAUCAUACAUGUGAUACAUAUACACGUUCUGUUUUUUUACAUAGUUAAAAAUAUGACUUAUAUAAAAAGGACAAACCAACGACUACGACCAUUUCUCUUUUUCGUUUUCACACAGUUAUUAUUUUGUGAAAUACACAUCAGGAGAUAAAUGAAGCGACUUCAGGCACUUUCCUUAAACAGCUGAACACACGACUGCGUCUGAAGACAGGGACAGACAGACAGACGGACGGGGACAGACUUCAUGUUGGACGCCUUCAGGCUUCGGCCUCGAGUCUCUGGACGUUUGAUAUAAAUUCUUUCUGAUUCACGCAUUUUGUGGCAUUUUGUCACUGACUUGAACCCUGGUGGACGGAUAGCACUGGUCCCACUGUAACGCUUUCACAGCACACCAGUUCAACGAGAAACGCUCACAAUUAUUACAAAAAAAAUCCACUGCUUUGUGUUUUUAUAUGAAAAUCUGUUGAUCUUCGUGUGCUUCAGAAGCCACAAGUUUAAGCCGAUGGCGACGACGAGUUCGGCAUCAUGACGCGUUCGACCUACGAGAACAUUUUGUAUUUC